UGUCUGUCCCUGACUUAUAUCACUCCUUGCCCCGACCACAGAGGGCAUUCACUACUCUAGCAGGCACUCUUCACUCUCUCAGUCUUUGUUUUCUGCUGGCAGCGGUUGUUUCUCUCGAGAAUCUAACCUGUCACGUGACCCCUGGCGUAGGAAGAAGAGGCUUAAUUAUUCAUCGGUAACACACUCACAUUUGACAGGGGAAGCCACACUAGGACCUACAAUGUUGUUGUUCUUCACCAUCUUCUGCGCCGUCCUGACAACAGGUCAUUCGUGCUCCUGUCUUCUAAACACGAGCAGAAUCAUGGACCAACUUCAAUUGUACUGCCAGUAUCACAUGGGUGAGUGGCGCCAUCUGACCCUUCCUUUUGUCUUUGCCCUCAACCAUUGAGAUACAUUCAUCGACAUUCUUUUUACCAAAUUGUUUUAUCUAUAACCAUUUUAUUCACAAUAAAGUUUCUUUUAUUUGGAGUGGAGGUUUGGAAACCGGUGAUUCAGGCUGCAAAAGCUCCUAUCCACACCACAGUUGCAGUCACAAAACAAAACUAAUAAGAAUAAGUUUGUUUAUUUGUGUGCUGGACAUCAGGUUGUACUCACCGUGUCUUUGAAAGCCAAAAUGAGUUCACACACUGUCAGAAGGAAAGAAGUGCGAAUCUAUCGAUGUAAUGUUCAACUGUUCCUCAUCCUUUUUGAGUUGCAAAUCAUGUAUGUUUGAUAGAUAUUUCAUGUUCCACUUGGUUCGGCCUGUAAGCUGUACUAGUGUCUGUAUAGCCGACUGACACUCAUUAUCUACAGUUGUCAUUGGAGAGACACUCACUGAGACUGAGGACAAUGGAGAGAGGACCUACACAGUCAGAGUGCGCCACCCUUUGCUGGUUCGAAGUCCAGUCUACGAACCGUUUACAGUAACCAUCAAAACAUCCAUGUCUGAAGACACCUGCGGACAAAGAUUUGAUCUAUCCAAUACUUACGUCUUUGCUUUAAAUAAGGAGAAUGUUAAUUGGAGAACUUCGUCAUGUGACCCAAACAUCCAGUGGGAAAUGUCACAAAGCAAUCAGCUCAAAAUGAGAAAAUUUGUGAGACGUUGCCCUGGUGCGGUGUGACUACCGUGACCCGGACACAGCCUCGAGUGAAACAUCUCCCACAACCUGCCAAGCAAGUCUUCCAUGUGCUGUAAGCAAUGAAACAUUGGUCUGAUGCAGGAGGCUAGUAAAUGUACGAACUUGUGAACACAC
This is a long non-coding RNA of Pomacea canaliculata, 1232 nucleotides long. RefSeq lists it as uncharacterized. The transcript has 4 exons. NCBI's taxonomy places the organism in Eukaryota, Metazoa, Mollusca, Gastropoda, Architaenioglossa, Ampullariidae. The record is from RefSeq and is a predicted model, not a curated record.